GGGGAAUAUUGCACAAUGGGCGCAAGCCUGAUGCAGCAACGCCGCGUGAGGGACGACGGCCUUCGGGUUGUAAACCUCUUUUAGUAGGGAAGAAGCGAAAGUGACGGUACCUGCAGAAAAAGCACCGGCUAACUACGUGCCAGCAGCCGCGGUAAUACGUAGGGUGCAAGCGUUAUCCGGAAUUAUUGGGCGUAAAGAGCUCGUAGGCGGUUUGUCGCGUCUGCUGUGAAAACUGGGGGCUCAACCCCCAGCCUGCAGUGGGUACGGGCAGACUAGAGUGCGGUAGGGGAGAUUGGAAUUCCUGGUGUAGCGGUGGAAUGCGCAGAUAUCAGGAGGAACACCGAUGGCGAAGGCAGAUCUCUGGGCCGUAACUGACGCUGAGGAGCGAAAGCAUGGGGAGCGAAC
Molecule: ribosomal RNA, 405 nt
Filed under: uncultured bacterium
Lineage: Bacteria
Description: bacterial SSU rRNA
Rfam family: Bacterial small subunit ribosomal RNA
Source: RNAcentral